Molecule: ribosomal RNA, 489 nt
Filed under: uncultured bacterium
Lineage: Bacteria
Description: partial 16S ribosomal RNA
Rfam family: Bacterial small subunit ribosomal RNA
Source: RNAcentral
AUUGAACGCUGGCGGCAGGCCUAACACAUGCAAGUCGAACGGUAACAGGAAACAGCUUGCUGUUUCGCUGACGAGUGGCGGACGGGUGAGUAAUGUCCGGGAAACUGCCUGAUGGAGGGGGAUAACUACUGGAAACGGUAGCUAAUACCGCAUAACGUCGCAAGACCAAGAGGGGGACCCUCGGGCCUCUUGCCAUCGGACGUGCCCAGAAUGGAUCAGCUUGUUGGUGGGGUACAGGCUCACCAAGGCGACGAUCCCUAGCUGGACUGAGAGGGUGACCAGCCACACUGGAAGUGAGACACGGUCCAGAAUCCUACGGGAGGCGACGGUGGGGAAUAUUGCACAAUGGGCGCAGACCUGAUGCAGCCAUACCGCGUGUAUGAAGAAGGCCUUCGGGUUGUAGAGUACUUUCGUCGGGAAGGAAAGGAAUAAAGUUAAUACCUUUGCUCAUUGACGUUACCCGCAGAAGAAGCACCGGCUAACUCCGUG